GCCAUGUACAACAAUCUUAUAAUAAAACUAAUACCAUUAUCCCGUUUUUUGUUAUCCUUUUGGUAUUUCUAUUUCAUUCAGAUUCAUUUCGUAUAUCGAUAGAUAUCACUAUCUGUCUCUAUUCUUCCUACUUAAUUUCUUUUGAUAACGAUAAAUAUUUUUAUUUAUAUAAAUGAUGAAGUUUUCACUGUAAUUUAUCAAACUGACAAGUAU
This 213-nucleotide long non-coding RNA is filed under the name Mytilus galloprovincialis (Mediterranean mussel). Lineage: Eukaryota; Metazoa; Mollusca; Bivalvia; Mytilida; Mytilidae. The record is from RNAcentral.